Ictidomys tridecemlineatus (thirteen-lined ground squirrel) is the source of this 190-nucleotide small nuclear RNA. Its record names the gene U2. It matches the Rfam family "U2 spliceosomal RNA". Rfam says of the family: U2 is a small nuclear RNA (snRNA) component of the spliceosome (involved in pre-mRNA splicing). Complementary binding between U2 snRNA (in an area lying towards the 5' end but 3' to hairpin I) and the branchpoint sequence (BPS) of the intron results the bulging out of an unpaired adenosine, on the BPS, which initiates a nucleophilic attack at the intronic 5' splice site, thus starting the first of two transesterification reactions that mediate splicing. NCBI's taxonomy places the organism in Eukaryota, Metazoa, Chordata, Mammalia, Rodentia, Sciuridae. The record is from Ensembl.
CUUGCUUUUCAGCCUUUUGGCUAAGAUCAUAUGUAAUAUCUGUUUUAUCAAUUUAAUAUCUGAUACAUCCUCUAUCCAAAGUCAAUAUGUUAAGUGGAUGUUUGGAGCAGGAAGAUAGAACAGGAGCUUGCUCUAUCCUUUCCAUGUAUUGCCCUAGUAUAGCAAUACUUCAAGGAUUGUUGCACCCCAC